AAAUUGAAGAGUUUGAUCAUGGCUCAGAUUGAACGCUGGCGGCAGGCCUAACACAUGCAAGUCGAGCGGUAGCACAGAGAGCUUGCUCUCGGGUGACGAGCGGCGGACGGGUGAGUAAUGUCUGGGAAACUGCCUGAUGGAGGGGGAUAACUACUGGAAACGGUAGCUAAUACCGCAUAACGUCGCAAGACCAAAGUGGGGGACCUUCGGGCCUCAUGCCAUCAGAUGUGCCCAGAUGGGAUUAGCUAGUAGGUGGGGUAACGGCUCACCUAGGCGACGAUCCCUAGCUGGUCUGAGAGGAUGACCAGCCACACUGGAACUGAGACACGGUCCAGACUCCUACGGGAGGCAGCAGUGGGGAAUAUUGCACAAUGGGCGCAAGCCUGAUGCAGCCAUGCCGCGUGUGUGAAGAAGGCCUUCGGGUUGUAAAGCACUUUCAGCGGGGAGGAAGGCGGUGAGGUUAAUAACCUCAUCGAUUGACGUUACCCGCAGAAGAAG
This 498-nucleotide ribosomal RNA is filed under the name Klebsiella pneumoniae. Its description in RNAcentral is "bacterial SSU rRNA". It matches the Rfam family "Bacterial small subunit ribosomal RNA", at positions 1 to 490 of the family's 1533-position model. The record is from RNAcentral. Lineage: Bacteria; Pseudomonadati; Pseudomonadota; Gammaproteobacteria; Enterobacterales; Enterobacteriaceae.